GUGCUUGCUUCGGCAGCACACAUACUAAAAUUGGAAAUAUAUAGAGAAGAUUAGCAUGGCCCCUGCACAAGGAUGACACGCAAAUUUGUGAAGCGUUCCAUAUUUAA
Small nuclear RNA from Leopardus geoffroyi (Geoffroy's cat), 107 nucleotides. The record is from RefSeq and is a predicted model, not a curated record. NCBI's taxonomy places the organism in Eukaryota, Metazoa, Chordata, Mammalia, Carnivora, Felidae.